Molecule: long non-coding RNA, 207 nt
Filed under: Mytilus galloprovincialis (Mediterranean mussel)
Lineage: Eukaryota; Metazoa; Mollusca; Bivalvia; Mytilida; Mytilidae
Source: RNAcentral
CAAGAAUGGCCAAAAAAAAUUUCGGGUUGCGGUGAUUUUACCGGGUCGGUCGGGUGAGGGGGAAACAAACAAUAUUUUAUUUUUGGCCUCAACCAAAUAUUAUGAACCUUAUACCAUGUAUACACAAUGCUUAUUUCCACAAAACAUACAUCAAGCAUUGUCAAGUUUGAAUUUUAGUGCCGUUACUUACAUGUACAUGUAUACCAG